UUUUAUGGAGAGUUUGAUCCUGGCUCAGGAUGAACGCUGGCGGCGUGCCUAAUACAUGCAAGUCGAGCGAACGGACGAGAAGCUUGCUUCUCUGAUGUUAGCGGCGGACGGGUGAGUAACACGUGGAUAACCUACCUAUAAGACUGGGAUAACUUCGGGAAACCGGAGCUAAUACCGGAUAAUAUUUUGAACCGCAUGGUUCAAAAGUGAAAGACGGUCUUGCUGUCACUUAUAGAUGGAUCCGCGCUGCAUUAGCUAGUUGGUAAGGUAACGGCUUACCAAGGCAACGAUGCAUAGCCGACCUGAGAGGGUGAUCGGCCACACUGGAACUGAGACACGGUCCAGACUCCUACGGGAGGCAGCAGUAGGGAAUCUUCCGCAAUGGGCGAAAGCCUGACGGAGCAACGCCGCGUGAGUGAUGAAGGUCUUCGGAUCGUAAAACUCUGUUAUUAGGGAAGAACAUAUGUGUAAGUAACUGUGCACAUCUUGACGGUACCUAAUCAGAAAGCCACGGCUAACUACGUGCCAGCAGCCGCGGUAAUACGUAGGUGGCAAGCGUUAUCCGGAAUUAUUGGGCGUAAAGCGCGCGUAGGCGGUUUUUUAAGUCUGAUGUGAAAGCCCACGGCUCAACCGUGGAGGGUCAUUGGAAACUGGAAAACUUGAGUGCAGAAGAGGAAAGUGGAAUUCCAUGUGUAGCGGUGAAAUGCGCAGAGAUAUGGAGGAACACCAGUGGCGAAGGCGACUUUCUGGUCUGUAACUGACGCUGAUGUGCGAAAGCGUGGGGAUCAAACAGGAUUAGAUACCCUGGUAGUCCACGCCGUAAACGAUGAGUGCUAAGUGUUAGGGGGUUUCCGCCCCUUAGUGCUGCAGCUAACGCAUUAAGCACUCCGCCUGGGGAGUACGACCGCAAGGUUGAAACUCAAAGGAAUUGACGGGGACCCGCACAAGCGGUGGAGCAUGUGGUUUAAUUCGAAGCAACGCGAAGAACCUUACCAAAUCUUGACAUCAUUUGACAACUCUAGAGAUAGAGCCUUCCCCUUCGGGGGACAAAGUGACAGGUGGUGCAUGGUUGUCGUCAGCUCGUGUCGUGAGAUGUUGGGUUAAGUCCCGCAACGAGCGCAACCCUUAAGCUUAGUUGCCAUCAUUAAGUUGGGCACUCUAAGUUGACUGCCGGUGACAAACCGGAGGAAGGUGGGGAUGACGUCAAAUCAUCAUGCCCCUUAUGAUUUGGGCUACACACGUGCUACAAUGGACAAUACAAAGGGCAGCGAAACCGCGAGGUCAAGCAAAUCCCAUAAAGUUGUUCUCAGUUCGGAUUGUAGUCUGCAACUCGACUACAUGAAGCUGGAAUCGCUAGUAAUCGUAGAUCAGCAUGCUACGGUGAAUACGUUCCCGGGUCUUGUACACACCGCCCGUCACACCACGAGAGUUUGUAACACCCGAAGCCGGUGGAGUAACCUUUUAGGAGCUAGCCGUCGAAGGUGGGACAAAUGAUUGGGGUGAAGUCGUAACAAGGUAGCCGUAUCGGAAGGUGCGGCUGGAUCACCUCCUUUCUAAGGAUAUAUUCGGAACAUCUUCUUCAGAAGAUGCGGAAUAACGUGACAUAUUGUAUUCAGUUUUGAAUGUUUAUUUAACAUUCAAAUAUUUUUUGGUUAAAGCGAUAUUGCUUAUGCGAGCGCUUGACAAUCUAUUCUUUUUAAAGAAAGCGGUUGUCAGACAAUGCAUUGAGAAAAAUUAAAGCGGAGUUUACUUUUGUAAAUGAGCAUUUGAUUUUUUAAAAAUAAAGCAGUAUGCGAGCGCUUGACUGAAAAGAAAUUGUACAUUGAAAACUAGAUAAGUAGUAAAAUAUAGAUUUUACCAAGCAAAACCGAGUGAAUAAAGAGUUUAAAUAAGCUUGAAUUCAUAAGAAAUAAUCGCUAGUGUUCGAAAGAACACUCACAAGAUUAAUAACGCGUUUAAAUCUUUUUAUAAAAGAAAACGUUUAGCAGACAAUGAGUUAAAUUAUUUUAAAGCAGAGUUUACUUAUGUAAAUGAGCAUUUAAAAUAAUGAAAACGAAGCCGUAUGUGAGCGUUUGACUUAUAAAAAUGGUGGAAACAUAGAUUAAGUUAUUAAGGGCGCACGGUGGAUGCCUUGGCACUAGAAGCCGAUGAAGGACGUUACUAACGACGAUAUGCUUUGGGGAGCUGUAAGUAAGCUUUGAUCCAGAGAUUUCCGAAUGGGGAAACCCAGCAUGAGUUAUGUCAUGUUAUCGAUAUGUGAAUACAUAGCAUAUCAGAAGGCACACCCGGAGAACUGAAACAUCUUAGUACCCGGAGAAGAGAAAGAAANCGCAACCCUUAAGCUUAGUUGCCAUCAUUAAGUUGGGCACUCUAAGUUGACUGCCGGUGACAAACCGGAGGAAGGUGGGGAUGACGUCAAAUCAUCAUGCCCCUUAUGAUUUGGGCUACACACGUGCUACAAUGGACAAUACAAAGGGCAGCGAAACCGCGAGGUCAAGCAAAUCCCAUAAAGUUGUUCUCAGUUCGGAUUGUAGUCUGCAACUCGACUACAUGAAGCUGGAAUCGCUAGUAAUCGUAGAUCAGCAUGCUACGGUGAAUACGUUCCCGGGUCUUGUACACACCGCCCGUCACACCACGAGAGUUUGUAACACCCGAAGCCGGUGGAGUAACCUUUUAGGAGCUAGCCGUCGAAGGUGGGACAAAUGAUUGGGGUGAAGUCGUAACAAGGUAGCCGUAUCGGAAGGUGCGGCUGGAUCACCUCCUUUCU
This 2767-nucleotide ribosomal RNA is filed under the name Staphylococcus aureus subsp. aureus Tager 104. RNAcentral's name for it is "16S ribosomal RNA". The stretch from base 2 to 1553 matches the Rfam family "Bacterial small subunit ribosomal RNA". The record is from RNAcentral. Lineage: Bacteria; Bacillati; Bacillota; Bacilli; Caryophanales; Staphylococcaceae.